GACGAGGGGUCCUAGCGUUGUUCGGAAUUAUUGGGCGUAAAGCGCAUGUAGGCGGCCUAUCAAGUCAGAUGUGAAAUCCCCGGGCUCAACCUGGGAACUGCAUUUGUGACUGCAUCGCUGGAGUGCGGCAGAGGGGGAUGGAAUUCCGCGUGUAGCAGUGAAAUGCGUAGAUAUGCGGAGGAACACCGAUGGCGAAGGCAAUCCCCUGGGCCUGCACUGACGCUCAUGCACGAAAGCGUGGGGAGCAAACAGG
RNAcentral lists this ribosomal RNA (253 nucleotides) under uncultured bacterium. RNAcentral describes it as "partial 16S ribosomal RNA". It matches the Rfam family "Bacterial small subunit ribosomal RNA", at positions 524 to 776 of the family's 1533-position model. The record is from RNAcentral.